GACGAACGCUGGCGGUAUGCUUAACACAUGCAAGUCGAACGAGAAGUCUUUUAUUGAACCUUCGGGGGAUAUAAGAGACAGACAGUGGCGGACGGGUGAGUAACGCGUAAAGAACUUGCCUCACAGCUAGGGACAACAUUUGGAAACGAAUGCUAAUACCUAAUAUUAUGAUAAUAGGGCAUCCUAUAAUUAUGAAAGCUAUAAGCGCUGUGAGAGAGCUUUGCGUCCCAUUAGCUAGUUGGAGAGGUAACGGCUCACCAAGGCGAUGAUGGGUAGCCGGCCUGAGAGGGUGAUCGGCCACAAGGGGACUGAGACACGGCCCUUACUCCUACGGGAGGCAGCAGUGGGGAAUAUUGGACAAUGGACCGAGAGUCUGAUGCAGCAACGCCGCGUGAACGAUGAAGGUCUUCGGAUCGUAAAGUUCUGUUGCAGGGGAAGAUAAUGACGGUACCCUGUGAGGAAGCCCCGGCUAACUACGUGCCAGCAGCCGCGGUAAUACGUAGGGGGCUAGCGUUAUCCGGAUUUACUGGGCGUAAAGGGUGCGUAGGUGGUCCUUCAAGUCGGUGGUUAAAGGCUACGGCUCAACCGUAGUAAGCCGCCGAAACUGGAGGACUUGAGUGCAGGAGAGGAAAGUGGAAUUCCCAGUGUAGCGGUGAAAUGCGUAUAUAUUGGGAGGAACACCAGUAGCGAAGGCGGCUUUCUGGACUGCAACUGACACUGAGGCACGAAAGCGUGGGUAGCAAACAGG
Molecule: ribosomal RNA, 748 nt
Filed under: uncultured Rhizobiaceae bacterium
Lineage: Bacteria; Pseudomonadati; Pseudomonadota; Alphaproteobacteria; Hyphomicrobiales; Rhizobiaceae
Description: bacterial SSU rRNA
Rfam family: Bacterial small subunit ribosomal RNA
Source: RNAcentral